GACGAACGCUGGCGGCGUGCUUAACACAUGCAAGUCGAACGGAAAGACCCUGCUUUUGUGGGUCUCUCGAGUGGCGAACGCGUGAGUAACACGUGAGUAACCUGCCCUUGACUUUGUGAUAACUUCAGGAAACUGGGGCUAUUACCGGAUAGAAGCUCCUGCUGCACGGUGGGGGUUGGAGAGUUUCGGCGGUUGGGGAUGGACUCGCGGCUUCUCAGCUUGUUGGUGGGGUAGUGGCUUUCCAAGGCUUUGACGGCUAGCCGGCAUGAGAGGGUGAACGGCGACAUUGGGACUGAGGUACGGCGCAGAAGCCUACGGUAGGCAGCAGUGGGGAGUAUUGCACAGUGGCGGGAAGCCUGAUGCGGCAGCGCUGGGUGCGGGAUAACGGCCUUCGAGGUAUAAACAACUGUGGCCGGUGACGAGGCGUUAGUGACGGUAAUUAGUAAGAAAGCACCGGCUAACUACGUG
Molecule: ribosomal RNA, 468 nt
Filed under: uncultured bacterium
Lineage: Bacteria
Description: partial 16S ribosomal RNA
Rfam family: Bacterial small subunit ribosomal RNA
Source: RNAcentral